GUCUGAUCUCAAAUCAGGUAGGACUACCCGCUGAACUUAAGC
RNAcentral lists this ribosomal RNA (42 nucleotides) under Tomentella galzinii. RNAcentral's name for it is "partial 28S ribosomal RNA". The record is from RNAcentral. Lineage: Eukaryota; Fungi; Basidiomycota; Agaricomycetes; Thelephorales; Thelephoraceae.